UCACCGCUUGCGCGGGCAGUCCUAUUAGAGUCCCCGACAUUACUCGUUGGCAACUAACAGUAGGGGUUGCGCUCGUUGCAGGACUUAACCUAACACCUCACGGCACGAGCUGACGACAGCCAUGCAGCACCUAGUUUCGUGUCUCUUGCGAGCCUGACCCUUUUCGGGGUCAUUCACUAACUUUCAAGCCCAGGUAAGGUUCCUCGCGUAUCAUCGAAUUAAACCACAUGCUCCACUGCUUGUGCGGGCCCCCGUCAAUUCCUUUGAGUUUCAACCUUGCGAUUGUACUUCCCAGGUGGAAUACUUAAUGCGUUAGCUUGGAUACUGAUCUUAAAAAAGACCAACAUCUAGUAUUCAUCGUUUAGGGUGUGGACUAC
RNAcentral lists this unclassified non-coding RNA (377 nucleotides) under uncultured Bacteroidota bacterium. RNAcentral describes it as "uncultured Bacteroidetes bacterium contains 16S-23S intergenic spacer region". The record is from RNAcentral. Lineage: Bacteria; Pseudomonadati; Bacteroidota.